AGGUCUAACCUGCCCAAUGAGGAAUUAAAUGGCCGCAGUAUUUUGACUGUGCAAAGGUAGCAUAAUUAUUAGUUUUUUAAUUGAAAGCUUGUAUGAAGGGUUGGACGAGAUAAAAUCUGUCUUUAUUUAAAUUAUUAUAGAAUUUAACUUUUAAGUCAAAAGGCUUAAAUGUAUGUAAAAGACGAGAAGACCCUAUAGAUCUUUAUUUAACUAAUAUUUUGAUAAUUUAGGAUUAUUUUAGUUUAAAGUUUUAGUUAAAUUUUAUUGGGGUAAUAUAAAGAUUAAAUAAAUUCUUUUUAUUUAUUACAUUGAUUUAUGAAUAUAUGAUCCGAUAUUAUUGAUUAUAAGAUUAAGUUACCUUAGGGAUAACAGCGUAAUUUUUUUGGAGAGCUCAUAUCGAUAAAAAAGUUUGCGACCUCGAUGUUGGAUUAAAAAUUAGCUUGGGUGCAGAAGCUCAAGAUUUUGGUCUGUUCGACCAUUAAAUUUUUACAUGAUCUGAGUUCAGACCGGCGUAAGCCAGGUCGGUUUCUAUCUUUACUUAUCUAAAAUAUUUUAGUACGAAAGGACCAAAUAUUUAAUAUAAUUAUAUUUAUUUUUUGAAUAAUAUU
Molecule: ribosomal RNA, 608 nt
Filed under: Cicindela lagunensis
Lineage: Eukaryota; Metazoa; Arthropoda; Insecta; Coleoptera; Carabidae
Description: partial 16S ribosomal RNA
Rfam family: Bacterial large subunit ribosomal RNA
Source: RNAcentral